Molecule: ribosomal RNA, 406 nt
Filed under: uncultured bacterium
Lineage: Bacteria
Description: partial 16S ribosomal RNA
Rfam family: Bacterial small subunit ribosomal RNA
Source: RNAcentral
AUUGAACGCUGGCGGCAGGCCUAACACAUGCAAGUCGAACGAGUGGCGGACGGGCGAGUAAUGUCUGGGCAACUGCCUGAUGGAGGGGGCUAACUACUGGAAAAGGUAGCUACUACCGCAUACCAUCAGAUGGGCCCAGAUGGGAUUAGCUAGUGGGGGGGGUAACGGCUCACCAAGGCGACGAUCCCUAGCUGGGCUGAGAGGAUGACCAGCCACACUGGAACUGAGACAUGGUCCAGACUCCUACGGGAGGCAGCAGUGGGGAAUAUUGGACAAUGGGCGCAAGCCUGAUGCAGCCAUGCCGCGUGUAUGAAGAAGGCCUUCGGGUUGUAAAGUACUUUCAGCGGGGAGGCGUUACCCGCAGAAGAAGCACCGGCUAACUCCGUGCCAGCAGCCGCGGUAAUUU